RNAcentral lists this long non-coding RNA (737 nucleotides) under Homo sapiens (human). Its description in RNAcentral is "HSALNT0396523". The record is from RNAcentral. Lineage: Eukaryota; Metazoa; Chordata; Mammalia; Primates; Hominidae.
AACUGGCAUCUGGUGAGAUCUCUCUCCUUGGGUUGUAAGUGACCACCUUCUCUAUGUCCUUCCAUGGACUUUCCUCUGUGCUUUUGUGGUGCCAGUGCGCGUGACAUUUCCCUGAAGCCACAGCCCUUGUCACCCCCUGCAAAGCUCUGAAGUUGUGCACAGUGUCUAUAGCAGUUUAGGAAAGAAGGCGGCUCCCUGGGCUGGAGACGACGCAAUGCUCUGGGAAGACCCCUGGGUGCGGGUGAGAGAGGAAUCCGAGCUGCACAAGGCCAAUGAGGGGAGGACGACCCGCCCGAUUUAGAUAAAGGUAACAAGAAAUUUCAGCUUCCGGCAUGAUGGGCGAAGGCCCCCACCUUCAGCCUCGCUCCUCCAUGCCUUCAGAGCUGUUCCGCCAUGCAGACGGGGAGCCUGCCUGUUCUUUAACCUCUCCUACCUGAUGGGAGAGGACAAGCUACCAGGACAGCUUGUCUCACCAAGAAAUUGUGAUACCGCAUCCCCCAACGUGCUGGCUUCCUGACUUCCAAAGUUGCGGCAAGGUAAGAAGAACUACAGAGGAAGAACCUAAUGCAGACGUUUCCCAGGAGACUUUAACUGAAGUAUCAGCAAACUGAAAGGUAACGAGAGAAUCUUGUGCCUCUGAGGGUGUCUUUCCCAUGGAUCCCUGCUCAGUUGCCUUUCACGGGCCCCCUGAUUUGCGUGAACUCCUGACCUCAGAUGAUCCGCCUGCCUUGGCCCUC